AUUAAAAGGAGCGUCGAGCAAUAAAUUCUACACUUUAAUUUCUGUUGUCAGUGAAUUGUGUAAAGUCAAGUCUGUUACAUUCCAUCACUGUUUCGUGUUGUAACAGGAGUGGCAGGUUGAAUCAGGGGGCAGGGCUUCAUUUCCUUCUUUCUGUUUCAUUUACUCACAACUUACAAUGGCUGCUAAACGGAAGAGCACCGAAAUGGUGGCGCUGGAUGACCCUCUUUCAACAAAAGCUCCAAAGUUAGUGGAUGAGGAGGCUGAACGGAGGUGAGUAAUGAUUUACUGAACUACACGUUAUAACUGCAUUCUGCUUUUUAUUUUCUAAAGAUA
Molecule: long non-coding RNA, 333 nt
Filed under: Cottoperca gobio
Lineage: Eukaryota; Metazoa; Chordata; Actinopteri; Perciformes; Bovichtidae
Description: lncRNA (ENSCGOG00000002660.1)
Source: RNAcentral